Molecule: ribosomal RNA, 497 nt
Filed under: uncultured bacterium
Lineage: Bacteria
Description: partial 16S ribosomal RNA
Rfam family: Bacterial small subunit ribosomal RNA
Source: RNAcentral
GAUGAACGCUGGCGGCGUGCCUAAUACAUGCAAGUCGAGCGAACAGACGAGGAGCUUGCUCCUCUGACGUUAGCGGCGGACGGGUGAGUUACACGUGGAUAACCUACCUAUAAGACUGGGAUAACUUCGGGAAACCGGAGCUAAUACCGGAUAAUAUAUUGAACCGCAUGGUUCAAUAGUGAAAGACGGUUUUGCUGUCACUUAUAGAUGGAUCCGCGCCGCAUUAGCUAGUUGGUAAGGUAACGGCUUACCAAGGCAACGAUGCGUAGCCGACCUGAGAGGGUGAUCGGCCACACUGGAACUGAGACACGGUCCAGACUCCUACGGGAGGCAGCAGUAGGGAAUCUUCCGCAAUGGGCGAAAGCUUGACGGAGCAACGCCGCGUGAGUGAUGAAGGUCUUCGGAUCGUAAAACUCUGUUAUUAGGGAAGAACAAAUGUGUAAGUAACUAUGCACGUCUUGACGGUACCUAAUCAGAAAGCCACGGCUAACUACGUG